Molecule: ribosomal RNA, 494 nt
Filed under: uncultured bacterium
Lineage: Bacteria
Description: partial 16S ribosomal RNA
Rfam family: Bacterial small subunit ribosomal RNA
Source: RNAcentral
GACGAACGCUGGCGGCGUGCUUAACACAUGCAAGUCGAACGGUGAAGCGCCUUCCUUUUUGGUGGGUGUGGAUGAGUGGCGAACGGGUGAGUAACACGUGAGUAACCUGCCCCCUUCUUCUGGAUAACCGCAUGAAAGGGUGGCUAAUACGGGAUAUUCUGGGUCUGUCGCAUGAUGGGUCUGGGAAAGAUAUUGUUUCGGUGGGGGAUGGGCUCGCGGCCUAUCAGCUUGUUGGUGGGGUGAUGGCCUACCAAGGCGGUGACGGGUAGCCGGCAUGGGAGGGUGGACGGUCACACUGGGACUGAGGCACGGCCCAGACUCCUACGGGAGGCAGCAGUGAGGAAUAUUGCACGAUGGGCGCAAGCCUGAUGCAGCGACGCCGCGUGAGGGAUGGAGGCCUUCGGGUUGUGAACCUCUUUCGCCAGUGAAGCAGGCCUGCCUCGUUUGUGGGUGGGUUGACGGUAGCUGGAUAAGAAGCGCCGGCUAACUACGUG